This 301-nucleotide ribosomal RNA is filed under the name uncultured bacterium. RNAcentral describes it as "partial 16S ribosomal RNA". It matches the Rfam family "Bacterial small subunit ribosomal RNA", at positions 509 to 807 of the family's 1533-position model. The record is from RNAcentral.
CAGCAGCCGCGGUAAUACGUAGGGGGCAAGCGUUGUCCGGAAUCAUUGGGCGUAAAGCGCGUGUAGGCGGCUCGAUAAGUCUGCUGUGAAAGUCCAGGGCUCAACCCUGGAAUGCCGGUGGAAACUGUCGAGCUCGAGUCCGGAAGAGGCAAGUGGAAUUCCUGGUGUAGCGGUGAAAUGCGCAGAUAUCAGGAGGAACACCAAUGGCGAAGGCAGCUUGCUGGGACGGUACUGACGCUGAGACGCGAAUGCGUGGGGAGCAAACAGGAUUAGAGACCCCAGUAGUCCCUGUCUCUUAUAC